Oreochromis aureus is the source of this 1372-nucleotide long non-coding RNA. NCBI's taxonomy places the organism in Eukaryota, Metazoa, Chordata, Actinopteri, Cichliformes, Cichlidae. The record is from Ensembl.
AAGCACUUUAUGUUUUGUAGAUGUAUUUUUUUUCAGACAGGGCACACACAGUCCUGUUUCCUUUGUGGGAAAACCUUCAAACUUCACCAUCCUCAGCUGAAACAACAACAUCUUAACACCAUCUUCAUGAACUGUUGAGCCAAACCUGAUCCAUCAGUGCUGGACUGCACAGAUAACUACAUGCCACAAGGAGACUGCUGUGUUAUGAACUGCCAUACCAGUGUGUCUUCAAUGGAGAAGAUGACACACCCAUCACCUGACCUCCUGCCUGAUCUGGAGACCAUCAUCAUGCUGCCACACUACACACCUCUGAGACCCUCAAUGAUGACUGAUACUGAGGAAACUGUAUUUCCUGUCAGAGAUGCUCAGUGAUCCUCAGAGCAGAGAGAGGUACUGCUGUCUCCUGAGUUCUUCAGUGUCCCAACUGAGACAUUCAAACCUCAUUGCAGAGCUCAUGCCUUUCCUCACCAUCAUGUGAGUGUGAGAUUGCUCUGGAUUCUGGUUAUGUGGCCUGCAGCACCUAUAAGAACAAGCUCGUACAGUGUGCCUGCAUUCCAGCUUCUUAGACUCUACGUAAGUGGACAGUAUCAGUGUUUGGCCGCUCUUACAGACACCGACUUCUGUCAACUCACUGCUACUGAUCAGGCACCUCACUUCAGGAAGACAGAGGGCUGCAAGCCUGUCAUCGUUUCCAGUGUGGCUUUGAAUUCUUGGGGUAGUAUCAGAUUUUUCCCACAAAUAUUCAAAGGUAACACUUAUUUUAAGCUUAGUUAUUAAAUCAAAAGUCUUCCCUUGUGUUAAUUUUUUUAUUAUUAUUUUAUUUUAUUUAUUUAUUUUUUCUUUUAGAUUUAUAUGCAGUGAUCGGAUGUGGUGGAGCUUUGUUAACUGUGUGUAAAACAUCUGUUUGUGAUGAUAUUUACAAUGAGGCUUUAAGGUGACAGUUUCCAUGUAAUUUCAGUCCUUUUACUAAGCAAAAACAUGUUUGCAAUUAACAUAUUUUUUCAGUUUUGUCUUUUGGAUUUAUGGUUAACAUUCCUCUGUGACAGCAAAUACUAAACUGGUCCAAGUAACCAGCAUAUCAUUGGUUAAAGGCAAAAGGACCACAUGUCACACUAGCAAUGAAUUUUUGACUGUGUUUGUGUCACCAGAUUUAACAAACAAUAUCAGACAUAUGAAACUGAACUCUGGAUUAAUGUCUAGAUGUUUUUUGUGUUUUUUUUUUUAUUGUUGAAUAAUUAUUUUGUAGGACAAACCCAAUCUAUUUACCCAAACAAUGUAACUUGUUUGGGUAAAUAGUGGAUUAAUAUAUCUAAGUCUAUAAGUAUAGCAAGCUGAAUUCAUACAAACACACAGCUCUAAAUCUUGAAUUGUA